CCUACGGGAGGCAGCAGUGGGGGAUAUUGCACAAUGGGGGAGACCCUGAUGCAGCGACGCCGCGUGGGCGAAGAAGUAUUUCGGUAUGUAAAGCCCUAUCAGCAGGGAAGAAGAAAUGACGGUACCUGAGUAAGAAGCACCGGCUAAAUACGUGCCAGCAGCCGCGGUAAUACGUAUGGUGCAAGCGUUAUCCGGAUUUACUGGGUGGAAAGGGAGCGCAGGCGGCACGGCAAGCCUGAUGGGAAAGCCCGCGGCCCAACCGCGGGCCUGCAUGGGGAACUACCGGGCUGGAGUGCCGGAGAGGUAGGCGGAAUUCGUAGUGUAGCGGUGAAAUGCGUAGAUAUUAGGAGGAACACCAGUGGCGAAGGCGGCCUACUGGACGGUGACUGACGCUGAGGCUCGAAAGCGUGGGGAGCAAACAGGAUUAGAUACCCUUGUAGUC
This 442-nucleotide ribosomal RNA is filed under the name uncultured bacterium. RNAcentral describes it as "partial 16S ribosomal RNA". It matches the Rfam family "Bacterial small subunit ribosomal RNA", at positions 338 to 795 of the family's 1533-position model. The record is from RNAcentral.